MicroRNA precursor from Nomascus leucogenys (northern white-cheeked gibbon), 99 nucleotides. Lineage: Eukaryota; Metazoa; Chordata; Mammalia; Primates; Hylobatidae. The record is from Ensembl.
GAGGUGGGAGGAUUGCUUGAGCCUGGGAGGUAGAGGCUGCAGUGAACUGAGAUCAUGCCACUGCACUCCAGCCUGAGUGACAGAGUGAGAACCUGUCUC